Molecule: ribosomal RNA, 775 nt
Filed under: uncultured Neocallimastigales
Lineage: Eukaryota; Fungi; Neocallimastigomycota; Neocallimastigomycetes; Neocallimastigales
Description: partial large subunit ribosomal RNA
Rfam family: Eukaryotic large subunit ribosomal RNA
Source: RNAcentral
GUACACGCUGUGACUAGCAUAUCAAUAAGCGGAGGAAAAGAAACUAACAAGGAUUCCCUUAGUAACGGCGAGUGAAGCGGGAAGAGCUCAAAUUUGAAAUCUUCAAGGUUUUACCUUGACGAAUUGUAGUUUAAAGAAGUGUUUUCUGCUGAAGUUUUGGUAAAAGUUCUUUGGAAUAGGACAUCAUAGAGGGUGAGAAUCCCGUAUUUGACCAUUAUUUUCAGCUUUGUGAUACACUUUCAAAGAGUCGGAUUGUUUGGGAAUGCAGUCCAAAAUGGGUGGUAAAUUUCAUCUAAAGCUAAAUAUUGGCGAGAGACCGAUAGCGAACAAGUACCGUGAGGGAAAGAUGAAAAGAACUUUGAAAAGAGAGUUAAACAGUACGUGAAAUUGUCAAAAGGGAAGCGUUUGACACCAGUGUUGUUUUCUCGAAAAUCAAUUAAAAAUGGCUCGAUUUUGUAUUGCUUGAGACCUUAAAAGCUCACUGUACAUUUUUCGUGUCUUUUUUAAUGCACUUUUCGUUUAACAAGUCAACAUCAGUUUCUUUUGUUGUAAAAGGGUCAUUGGAAGGUGGCUUUCUUUUCGGAGAAAGUGUUUAUAGCCUUUGGCCUCUGCAAUCGGAGAGACUGAGGUCUGCAGCGUAGACUCUUCGGGGUUAGAUACAUUUGUGCUAAGUUAUAGCUUUUUAUAGACAACUUGUUGACUAUAAUUAGUCUUGUAGCUUACUCGCUUAUGCUAUUUUACCUACGCUUAGGAUGUUGAGUAGCGACAUACGCAC